This 5772-nucleotide long non-coding RNA is filed under the name Mytilus galloprovincialis (Mediterranean mussel). The record is from RNAcentral. Lineage: Eukaryota; Metazoa; Mollusca; Bivalvia; Mytilida; Mytilidae.
AUAGGGAGAAGCUCCGGUGGAAAGAAAUCUAUUGGAUCCUGUGAUUUCAUCAAACAAGUAAGCAGUCUGUCACCUUUCCAAUCGAUAUAUCUGUUUACAAGAGGUGGUAGUUCUUACAAUUUCAACUGCAGAAGGGGAUGCAACGUAAGUAACUUAAACUUAAAGUAUACGUAUAGAAUUGUAAAUUCUUUGUGUAUAUAUGUUAUUAACAUAUAUUCCUGAGGUAAGAAUUGUUUUAUAGUGAUUUUAAUUUUAUAUCCAAGUAUUGAAUGUGACUGAGAGAAGUUAGUAGCUUAGACAUCGAUUCUAUUUAAAAAAAAUUGUUACAUUCAUGAUGACGGGAGCUUGAGCAAUAAAUUGCACAGGUAAAUAAAAGAAAAAAACUUCAUAGAAUUUGAGAGUUCAUGAUCCUAACAAAACAUUGUAAUCCAACAGUGUUAUUUGGUUUCUUGUGAAACGUUGUCUCGUCAACAAUCAUACAACAAAUUAUUUUCAUAAAGUGUGAAGGAAGGCAGAACCAUUUGAUAAGAUCUGCGCGCAUGCAUUCUUUGAUAUUAUCAGAAAAUUUAUAUUCAAAAGUAUUCGUGUUGGUUAAAUGACACUGAAAUUAAAAAUGAUUAUCAAUAUUUCAAAAUUUACAAUGAUCAAUCCGCGCAUUGGUUUUACAUCCAAUGUUGUAGAUGCUUAAUCAUACCUCUACGACGAUCAGAGUGUUUGUCUAGCAAAUAAAGCAUUAAACAAUGUUAUUGUAAUAUCUCACAAAAGAACUUGGAAUACUCUCAUUUACCACUACUUCCAUGACAAGGGGAGAUAAAUCUCGUUUUAGGCCAGGAAUGCAAAUUAUUCACACGAAUACACAUAUACAGUGCAUGCAUUUACUAUAGUUAACUUCGUUUUUUUUCAAAUACAUUUCACUUAUAUGAAUUGCAUAUUUACAAAUUCUUGUAUGUGAUUGGUCCGUUAUAAUGUUGAUUCUCUAGACAACAAUUCGAAAGUCAAAAAAUGGACAGAAGUAUCUUAGCACACAUGCACAUACUUACAACGUUUCGUCCAAUCAAAUUGCUUGAAUUUGCCUUCUAACUUUCAUAGUACAUACUUUUUACGUGUACUAAGUAACUACGCAUGAAUGACAACAAGGGUCAGAUUUCAUUGCAUCGUAAUCAAGAUAUUAAAAAAAAUUGCUACUGGCUAUUUUGAAAAUGUUGUGUUCCAAAUUAAAUAAAAUAGUGUGUGUAAUUAGUUUUCAAAAUAAUUUUUAAACACCCCAUUACUUAAUCUUUGGAUCUAACAAUGCUUUUGACAAUAAAAUAACACAUAUAGUUAUUUAUAACUUGAUUAGAGUACAAUGCCAUCUAAAAUUGUAAUAAUUUAUCUUCCAUGUAAUUACGUUGUACCCAAAAAUAGAGUCAACCAAGAAACCUUGUGAAGGAAAAUUAAAGCAAUUUGAUCUAUUUCCUCAUGAAUUGAUUGAUUAUUGAUUGCUUAAUGUCCAGUGACAGCUAUUUCAUGCAUGUAAACUAUCUACUAGUCUACCUAUGGGUACAUACCUGGGGCAGGUCCAUCCAAUUUUAAAAGGGGUUCGAACCCUCAAAAAAGGGGAGGGGGUCCAACUGUAUGUUCUUAUUCAAAGCAUUGAUCAUCACCCUCUUUUUGGACCUGCGACUGCAAACUAUCUACAUGGCUAUAUGUUUUAAAAUUUAUCAUGUAUAGUAAAUCACAGCUUUAUACCAAUACCAACAUACUUAGGCCACACCAAUUUAAUUUCUUGUUCUACGGAUUUUUGGACUCCAAAAUUUGGGGCGAGCGAGCGAUUUGAAAAUUUUAAUAAAAAAUAAUUAAUUUGCAAAUUUUUGAGGCGAAGCUUGAAAAGUUAAGGCGAGCGAUUAAUUUUUUUUUUGUAAACAUAAAAUAGUAGGUUUUGACAUUUAUUAAAACUUGAUUUAUCACUUGUACUUUGACUUUUCUUUAAUUUAUGAAGAAAUUUUUCCCUGUUCACCAAGAAAUAACUGAAUAAUUAAAUCUGGUCUAUAUAGGUAUGACUGACAAUGAGACAAUUUUCUAUUCAAGUCAUAAUCAGUUUGGGAACAACCCCUUAAUUUUAUAAAUAUCCCUUUUAUGAGGGGUCAAUAUAAGCAGGGACCUUCAUACUAAGUAAGUAAGUAUAGAAAGUCCCUGAUAAAAGUUAUUAUAUAUUUUUUUGUAAAAAAAAAACACUUUUUAGUACAAAAGGGCUCAUAUUUUCCAAAAGAACUAUAUAUCUAUCUGGUAUUAAAUGGUCAAAACAUGUCCAAGAAUUUUGUAAUAUUCCCGGACUUUUACCAUGUAAACAUAUUUACUUUAACAGUUCAAUAUUAUUUAAAAUAAGUGGAACCCCCUUUUAGAAAAGUGGUAUAAAAUAUGAUGUAUUUCUCCUCUUUUUGAGUAAAAAAUUAUAAGUUUUCAAAGGUUUUUUAGUAGCACUAUACAAAUUCUUGAAUAUAUAUUUUCAUUUCUACAUCGGUAAAAUGACCCCUUGUCUGAGGGAGGGUUGCUCCCAACCUGAUAAUGACAAAUACAGGUCAAAGUACGGCCUUUUACACAGGGCUUUGAUCCAGACCGUCAUCUAUAGCAAGCUAUAAAGGACCUUAAAAUAGUUAGUGUACAUAAUUCGAACAGGAAAACCAACGAUCUAAUUUAUAUAUCCAAACCGGCAAACGGGAAAAUACCAAUUAAUCGCAUCAACAAACGACAACUGCUGAACGACAGACCCCUUAAUCAAUCAGGACAGGUGCAUAAACAUGCAGCGGCUAUGGAUAGUUUUGUUUCGCCAGCAUACAAUAUAAUUGCAGUUAAAGGCAAAUCCUUUAGAAGUUCUUUGUACUUUAUUCUAACAAAGAACAUUUUUUGAUAGGGAAUAUGAAUAAGGGGAAAAGAAAGCAACGUUUUGUUCUUUACAGGUAUUUCCGCUGUUAUAUAUUUAUAUCGGAGCACUCCCAUUUUGGAUAAAUUGGUUUCAUGCUGAAACAAAUAUUCUGACAGAUAUUUACACAGUGUGGUGGGGUGCUUAUAGGUUUAAAAUCGUUUUAUAUACAGGUUUAGACUGUGAUUUAAAAAAAAAAAUGUUGAUAUCUUUUUAUAUCAUUUACAAAAAAACGGUGCGGGAAAUUGACAAGAUUACAUUUCCGGAUGCGGGAAGCGGGAAUAUAAAAAAAAUAAAAAAAUUCUGUUUUGAAAAAAAAUAUGUGCGGGCGGGUCCGUCGAACAAGGAUUUAAAUUGGUGUGGCCUUACACCAUGAUUACAAUCUUUUCAUUCUGGAGUCAAUAUCUUACAAUGAUAAUAGUGAGUAGUUUUACAAAACUAUAUAAAUGAGCUACACAUAGUCAGCCAAAACAUAUCAAUAGACUAAUUACAGGAUUACUCAAGUUGAAAAUAUGUGCUAAAUUGGAUAUUUUAUAGAAAGGUAUAUACUAUGAAAAUAAGAGCUUGGGGCAAGCCUCUCGCUCUAAUUUUCGUAGUAUAUACAGGCAACAGUAGUAUACCGCUGUUCAAAAUUCAUAAAUCGAUAGAGAAAAAAAACACAAAUGCGGGUUACAAACUAAAACUGAGGGAAACGUAUCAAAUAUAAGAGAACUUCGACACAACACCGAAACGUAACACACAUAGAAACGACUUUAACGGAACAAUUGCCAUUUUCCUGACUUAGUACAGGGCAUUUGAUGAAAACAUGAUGGGUUGAACCUGGUUUUGUGGCUUGCCAAUCCUCCCGCUUUAAUGGCAGUGUUAAUUAUAAGAUUAAAAUUACAACAUUACACGAUGGCAUUACAAUAAACAAUCAAAUAAAUGGGAGAAAAUAUAAGAUAGCUAUAUACCUUUCUAUACAAUAACCGACACUUAGAUUUGGCAAACAAUCGGGGGAAACUUGUAGAAAAAAAAACAUGGUUCUGAUAAAACCAGUGUAUCUUCGAAGACCAAUUGUCCGUUUCGGCGUUCGUGUGUUAGUGCUCGCCACAAGUGCAGGUGGACAUGAGUUCAGGUAAACUAAAGACUUUCAAAUUGCAAUUUAAUGCUUUUUUUUUUUUUUUGCACACAACAUUAAGGAGUUAUAGCACAGACUUAUAGACUCGGAGUCAAUAUCAUGUGUCCGAGUAAUGAGAUGUGUCUCCCUUCAGUAAAACGUAAAAUCACAAAAAUACCGAACGCCGGGGAAAAUUCAAAACGAAAAUUCCUUAAUAAAAUGGCAAAAUAUAAAGCUCAAACACAUCAAACGAAUGGAUAACAAUUUAAUACAAACGUUUCCUUAUAUAGAAAAUGAACAAAACGAACAGUUGUCAAAAAAUUUGGAACAGCUGUCAACAUAGUGUCAAUGUCUUAAUCACAAUAAAAACAGGGUCGGAUCCAGCCAUUUUAAAAAGGUGGUGAUCCCAACCCAGAGUAAGAGGGGAAAACUAUAUGCUCCCAUUCCAAUGUAUUGAUCGUCCAAAACAAAAGGGAGAUUCAAGCCCCCGUCUACCCCUCUUCCCCGCUGGAGCCGCCACUGAUAAAACAAAGAAUUAUGUAACAAAGAAACUCACAAAGGCGUAUACACAAAGCACAUUAGCAAAAAUGAAAGACAAUAAUAUAAGAAUUUACCAUAGCACAAUAGCACAAUGACGGGUUGUGCAUUAGAACAAAGCCACGUUAAAUGGAUUUUAUUCUAUGACAAGGUAUUAAAUAAGAUGAUUAACAACUUCAGUACCCAGAAUAUAUAUACUUCAAGACCAUCAUGUAUUUUUGUGAAACUGAUACGGAAUAUUUAUCAACAAUGUCUUGGUACUUUCUACUCGGACACUGUUGACGUUUUACAAAGUCUGAGUAGCAGCUGCAAGCUCUUGAAAAACAAAUAUGUUGGGAAAUAUAUAUAUCCCAUACGCAGGCAAAGUUGUCACACCGACAGCAAAUUGGGGAAAAUUGAUAAUUUCAAUCAAAUCGUCUCGUUUGUUAUAGAUUCUGGAACUGAUAUGACCGUGUUUGUCUAAUUCGAGGUCUAAAAAUGAGGGGGAGGAAGCCGUGUCUGUUGUUUCUUAACUUUCUAGUUUUGAGGGAUAUAUUAAAGGGACCUAAUCAGAAAAUUUUGGAUUGUUAAUGGAAAGAACAUCAAUAUUUCUGAAUGUGAAAUUAAAUGACCUGGCUUCUUUGAUCUUAUUUUUAAUGAGUGUCUGAAGGAACACCGACUCAUAUGAAAAUAAUCAGAGGUCGGCAAGGAAAGGCGCACAGCUUAUUUCCAUAAGAAUGCCGAUAAUUUGUUGAAAAUGUCUACCUCCAAUUUCAGCAAAAAUGUUGUCAAUUAUAUUAAUGAAUAUUACCUUAGACACUAGCAUGUUAGAAAUCCGGCUCAGGAUACCGAUUUAGUACAAAUCAGGGUGAAUUUGAUAAAACAUUCAUACGUUUACGUCCUGAAUAUGCAUAUUAAUUUGCCGUUGGGCCUUUAGCAGUCAUCUAUAAGAAUCAUAUAAAGGUAGUUAUCUGUCUAUAACCUGCACAUUUUUCUGAGAUCUAGAUAUACUAUUGUUAUAUUCAUUCUCGUUUUCAGAAAAUUGGUCCAGAUUCAACAGGUUGUAAAUAUGAUCCCGUUAAAAAUGACAAACUUAACAUUUGCCUGGCAAAGAAUGCCCUGUGCAAACGAGAAAGUGGACGGUGUCGUUGGGUUAAUAAUGACGAAUGUUAACGUGGUAAUGAAAUCAACCAACCUAUACGUUUUCUUAAUGAUUAAUCAGUAAACGAAACUAUUAGUCAGACUUUCUGAUGUACUUGUA